GCAUGAUUAUUAUUAUCCUUUUAGUUUCCACUGAUAUUUUCCCCAGGUAGUAUAUACUCUCUUUUUUGACACAUUAACUUGGGCAGGUGAAGUUCACACAAGCCAUUUUCCUUGGGAGGUAGAUGAGGAUUGUAGUGUUUGCAUUGCAGCGUUGGAGAAAACAAUAUAUGGUGACAGCAUAAUGAGAGAGAUACAGGUGCAUCAUAUCCAUGGCAUCAACUCUAAUAAGUACUGCCUUCUCACACACUCAUCAAGUUAUGUGAACAUUCUUCCCUCAUUCUCUUCUCUUGAGCACCGCGAGUUGAAAAGAAUCUAUCCUGUCCUUGUCUACGCAUAAACUAGCUUGUACUCUAAUGUCAGAGAAGCACUUG
Molecule: long non-coding RNA, 371 nt
Filed under: Setaria viridis
Lineage: Eukaryota; Viridiplantae; Streptophyta; Magnoliopsida; Poales; Poaceae
Description: long non-coding RNA (SVIR_LNC001263)
Source: RNAcentral